This is a long non-coding RNA of Trachemys scripta elegans, 909 nucleotides long. RefSeq lists it as uncharacterized. Lineage: Eukaryota; Metazoa; Chordata; Testudines; Emydidae. The record is from RefSeq and is a predicted model, not a curated record. The transcript has 3 exons.
GGAUCCUCCUUCCCAGCUGUCUUCCAGGCCCUGGGAUCUGGCACAGCCUCCCAGACGGGCGCUUCCUGUAGCUGAGCCACGUCAGGGAGCAGUGGGGACAGGUCACCUCGUCCCAGCAAUGCCGGCUCUCAAAGAGGCUUAGAUGGAAGACCCCAGUCCCUCAUGGAGAGGCUGUGUCCAGGAUCCUGGAGUCUGUUUCCUGCUGCAGGAGGUUUGAGCGGGGAGAGAUCACUCACUGUCACGACCCAGGGGUCUCCAACCCGGGUCUGCAGGGUUCAUGGGAGCAGCCACACUCCAACCCUCCACCUGGAAGCCUGCUGAAAAUUGCUUACCUCGGACCCAUGAAGUUCAGCCCCAGUUUGAGGCUCCACUCCUGAGGUCCUAUUGGAGGAGUCCCAGGAAAGCUCACUGGCCCCCUGGCCCUGCGUAAGACAGCAGCAGGAACACGGAGCUGACUGAACACCACGCCUGCUCCCGGUUCUGGACUGGGCGCUGCCUGGUUCUGCUGCCGCUCCCCUGGCUUGAUUUCCUGGCAUCUGAGUUGUGGUGGUGAUCGCAAGUUUGUCUUUUGCUGCUGAUCUUCCAGUAUCCUGACCCGGCUGACUCUCCACUCCUGUCAUGGCUCCCCAUCCACCCUGGAGUUGAACACCAGAUGGGAGCUGAUGGAUUAUCCUUGGUGGGCCAUGUUCUUGUGUGUGAUGAGAGGGCCAGGAGCAGAUGCACCACACCUGGUCAGGACCGGGCUAAACAACCUGUAAUGCUAGGUGAGUCAAACCAUGGCCACAAUACAGACCCCCUGGGCAUCCAUGGGGACUGAAUCUGGGCCCUUCACUACGAAGAGCACAACUCGUUCCAACUUGAGUCAUGAUGCUGGUGACCCCUGCCAGCCCCUUUGAGGGGGGGUCAGUA